Long non-coding RNA from Mytilus californianus (California mussel), 2294 nucleotides. RefSeq lists it as uncharacterized. The transcript has 2 exons. The record is from RefSeq and is a predicted model, not a curated record. NCBI's taxonomy places the organism in Eukaryota, Metazoa, Mollusca, Bivalvia, Mytilida, Mytilidae.
UGGCAAAGCUAGCAGCUGUUUGUUUAUUAACCAUCAUAUGCAUUAUGGAUUUUGGGAUGUGCCUUUUCUAUACAGACAGCAAAGAAAACGAUUACCCACGAAUUGGAAAGAGAAGACAUUAUGAUGAACUUGUAUACAAUAACAAUUACCAGCAAAAAUACAGAGAAUCCAAAAAGUCAAUGGACCGUUUAACAUUUAGUGAAGCUGUUAUACCAUCUGUGUUAUUGUUUCAAUAUUUUGACUUGGAUAACGACGGAUUCAUAUCUGCAAGCGAAUUUUCAAGAAGAAUAUCAUCUGGUUUAAGUUACUUGAUGCAACGAGAAAUGAACUGGGAUCAUUAGCUGGAACAAUAUUUUGUCUGUUCAUAUAUGGGACUUGGAUAUAUUUGUAUAACACUUACUACUUAAAAAUGACGGGUAGUUAAUGAUGAGGGUGGUUACUAAUAUUACUGAGGGAUGGUUAAUGAUAUUACUGAGGGAUGGUUAAUUAUAUUACUGAGGGAUGGUUACUGAUAUUACUGAGGGAUGGUUAAUUAUAUUACUGAGGGAUGGUUAAUGAUAUUACUGAGGGUUGGUUACUGAUAUUACUGAGGGAUGGUUAAUUAUAUUACUGAGGGUUGGUUACUGAUAUUACUGAGGGUUGGUUACUGAUAUUACUGAGGGUGAUUACUGAGGGGUAGUUACUGAUAAUACUACAUAAGGCACGUAGAAAGAAUCUUACUGCCGUCAAUGCGUAAAUUGAUUGACAUAUUUUAUCGUUUCAUUGUUUCAGUUUUCAUACUUAUAGUACCAACGUUGACAAUCUUAAAUUACCUCAGUGAUCCUUCUUUACUGCUUAUUGAUCAUAUUUCUUUAAAAAAGAUAAUUUAUAGAUAAUUCUAAACAUUUGUUAUGCUUUCAGUUGAACUGAUCUGGCCCUAUGUCAUGCUAUUUUUAGCGCCCUUAGCGUUAUGUGUCUGUCAUAAAACAAAACCUUCUAGACCAGGACGCAAAGUUGCAUCCGACGAAACCGCUUACAGACAAACAACUGAAACGAAACUGAAAGGGACUGUAUUAAACUCAUUAAAUCUUAUCACUUUCUUUUUCUACAAUCAUAAGACCUAUUUGGCUAAUAUGAACGUUUCUAAAAUGAAUUAUGGCUGAGAUAAGGAGAUAUUGGGUAUAUAUCUAUGAGACAGCAACCUUCCGACACAAAUAUCCGAAAGACAUCUAGUCAGAUGUCUACAGACAGUCUUCAACAAUACACACAGGUGAUUGUAUAAUGUAAACAAAUCCUGUGAAUCUCUAAACCGACCCUCCUCUUUUCCACACCUAUUCUGAAAAAAAAACCUUUAACUGGGGCUAUUUAAUACCUGCCAUCAACGCCACAUACUAAGAUAUGACACGUGACAACCACAAACGAGGUUCUAGACUUUGUCCUGACCCAUAACAUGUGGUAGAGUUAAACAAGUUUUUGAGAUCUCAACCUUUCCCCUUUUUAUUGAAGAUAAAUGGACAAAUAAAAGGUUCACUUUUUACCUUACAGACAGAUAUGAACAACAAAAAACCCGUUUUGCAAAAGAAAUCAAAUUUCCGCCUCAAUUUAUUUGUGUGUAAACUAGUCUGUUGGCUCACAAACAGAUUUUGAUAUUCGAUUCUAUUUUAAGCCUGGUAACAACUUACACAUUGAUUUAUUCAGACAAACCUAUUAAUCUCGACACACGCAGUAACAAAUUCACAGAUGAACAACAGGAAAUGAUAAGGACAACCAUUAAAAAUAUUGCGUCAAGGUAGUGAAGUAUUUCGAAAAGAUAUCAAACUAUUGUGUACAAUAUUAUUCUCUACAUCAGCAUGAUCAGAAAGAAUAAUGUAGAAUUAUUUAUUUUCCUAAAACCUUUCAUCCCUGCAAAUGCAAACAGAUUCAAAUUUCAAUUCGUAAAUUAUGACUAAUUUCAUUUGUUUAAGAUACAUGCAAGAAAUGAAAAUAAAGUUUUAUAACAUUCAAAUGUAAGUAUAUUUACAGUGACAAUCGACUAAUAUCAAAUUUAUAUAUAUACAUAUACAGCAAAAGUUGUACCGAGUGCCUUUUAUUGGGAAAAUAAACCAGUGUUGCACUGAAUAUAUUGUUACAGUAUAGCAAAACAAUGAAAUACACACUAACGGGAUUGAUUUCCAGUUUUAUAAUAUCAUUACUUUUCUGAACCUAUUAACAAUAUGUAUAGAUUACUGUCCUUCAUUUGGGUGUAGCAAUGUCUUGUUACAAUAAAAAACAAUCAGUUAGCAAUGUCUUGUUACAAUAAAAACAAUCAGUGAUUA